AAAAAACAAAUAACUGCCAUCUACAACAAGAACGUUAAAUAUCAAAACCUGAAAGUUUCAACCGUCGACCAGUUGAAGAUAACCCUUAGCAACUUGUAAUGCUGUAGUUGUAGAUCAAUCAAACAAAGUUACAAAUUCAAACAACAAGAAGUGCUUACUAAAA
Molecule: long non-coding RNA, 163 nt
Organism: Xenia sp. Carnegie-2017
Lineage: Eukaryota; Metazoa; Cnidaria; Anthozoa; Malacalcyonacea; Xeniidae
Exons: 3
Source: RefSeq, a predicted model, not a curated record